Molecule: ribosomal RNA, 254 nt
Filed under: uncultured bacterium
Lineage: Bacteria
Description: partial 16S ribosomal RNA
Rfam family: Bacterial small subunit ribosomal RNA
Source: RNAcentral
UACGGGGGGAGCAAGCGUUGUUCGGAUUUACUGGGCGUAAAGGGCGCGUAGGCGGUCAGCACAAGUCAGUUGUGAAAUCUCCGGGCUUAACUCGGAAAGGUCAACUGAUACUGUGCGACUAGAGUGCGGAAGGGGCAACUGGAAUUCUCGGUGUAGCGGUGAAAUGCGUAGAUAUCGAGAGGAACACCUGCGGCGAAGGCGGGUCUCUGGAAAAUACCUGACACUGAGGCACGAAAGCUAGGGGAGCAAACAGG